This 637-nucleotide long non-coding RNA is filed under the name Mustela putorius furo (domestic ferret). RNAcentral's name for it is "lncRNA (ENSMPUG00000026867.1)". The record is from RNAcentral. Lineage: Eukaryota; Metazoa; Chordata; Mammalia; Carnivora; Mustelidae.
CUUGGAGACCAGCUCAGACUUGGUUGAGUUCCUUCGUUUACUCAUACAAAAAAAUGGCAACAAAUUGGCUCCCUAUUCAAUGGCUGGAUAAUAAGCACCCAAAAAGCGUGUUCCUAAGUCACGGCGACAGUACCAUGUGAACGUAAAUGGAGACUUUGUAUAUGGAACUUCUUUUGUUGCCAUCUGUGUAAUGAGGGAGUCUUCUAGUUGACAGCUGAAGCCCCUUCUGGAUUUGAGUGUUUGGGGGAAUAAUGCCUCUGAGUGAAGAAGGAGAAAAACGUCCUGAUUGUUAGGUGGAUUUGAAGCUGUCCUUUGGACUGGAUUUAAAUGGCCCAACCAAGUUUGAUGUCAACUGUGAAAGUUCUACUGAAUGUUCCAGUCAUUCUUUACCACUGCAGUCUGAAAACUGGGAGUCUACUGGAGUCUUCUUGAAAUUAUUCUGCUGGAUGUGGCCGUCAGAGUGUUUUUCUGGAGCCCCGGCUGGAGGACAGUGGCUACCAGGAGCAUGUUUUUCUCAUGAUGGAGUUCGGCAUCUUCUAGGCUGGGUGGAAAAUACAUUUCUGCCAUGGAGGAGGUGGGAAGUAAAUAAUUACUGAACAAUAUUCUAAUGCCUGUUCCCGCUGAAAGAGAUGUUUUA